UUGUAGUCUGUAUUUACUGUAUCUUUCUAUGCAGGAUGAACUUGACGAAGUCGUCACCACAUGGAAUUCACACAAAAUCAGACAACGUGCAAGUGAUGGCGCAGCCUCAGGUCGGCCAUUUGUGAUGUACUCAUUCCCAGAGUUGCACAGUGCUGAAGAUAGACUCAAACCUAUUGCCAUGGAGGAGGUCACUUUGUGUAUGGAUUGUACUCCCAAAGGCCAGUUUCCAUGCGAUGAAACGGUUUUUGAACUGUGUUGUCUACUAAUGGAGGAACAUGGAUGGGAUGCUCCAGCAGAUCCACUUGCUGCAGCUGAUCUGUACAUCAUUUUAAGAGAGGAAAUACAGGAAAAUAUUUGAUGAAUGGAUCAUGUCCAUUAGGUAUUGGCCCUCCUCAUGUUUUGGAUCACAAAAGACAUCCAGAAAGGGAGGAUCAGCUACUCCAACUUCUCAGGGACCUAAGGGCCAUACCCAAAGCCAUGGUUAAGAUGUUGGGGUGACCUAAACUGUUUGUAUUACAUCGUCCCAACCAAAUUAUUCAGCAUGUGAUAUCUCAGUUUUUCUUUUUUAAUAAAUUUGCAAAAAUUUC
This is a long non-coding RNA of Micropterus salmoides (largemouth bass), 587 nucleotides long. RefSeq lists it as uncharacterized. The record is from RefSeq and is a predicted model, not a curated record. The transcript is spliced from 2 exons. NCBI's taxonomy places the organism in Eukaryota, Metazoa, Chordata, Actinopteri, Centrarchiformes, Centrarchidae.